RNAcentral lists this ribosomal RNA (415 nucleotides) under Polyphemus pediculus. RNAcentral's name for it is "bacterial SSU rRNA". It matches the Rfam family "Eukaryotic small subunit ribosomal RNA", at positions 573 to 876 of the family's 1831-position model. The record is from RNAcentral. Lineage: Eukaryota; Metazoa; Arthropoda; Branchiopoda; Diplostraca; Polyphemidae.
GCCGCGGUAACUCCAGCUCCAAUAGCGUAUAUUAAAGUUGUUGCGGUUAAAAAGCUCGUAGUUGGAUUUCAGUUUUCGGCCGGGCUCCUUCCCGUUCAAAUACGGGCGGCGAAGGGGCCUUUGGAUCGUUGGUGUCAAAGCCGCGGUCUUUUAACGGUCGGACUAUACCACCGGAGUGGGAUUGGUGGCGCCCGUCGCUUCGCUUCGGCGUUCGCGGCGGUGCGCGGUCGCCCGCAUUUUACUGACUGGGGUGCCUUUAACCGGGUGUCCCAGCCAGCCGGUUACGUUUACUUUGAACAAAUUAGAGUGCUCAAAGCAGGUGCAUUUUCGCCUGAAUAUCACAGCAUGGAAUGAUGGAAUAGGACCUCGGUCUUAUUUUGUUGGUUUUUCUAGACCCGAGGUAAUGGUUAAUAGA